Molecule: non-coding RNA, 204 nt
Organism: Vicia faba (fava bean)
Lineage: Eukaryota; Viridiplantae; Streptophyta; Magnoliopsida; Fabales; Fabaceae
Source: the annotation of a GenBank genome assembly
AUGCAGAUUUUAUUUUGGGUUGUCGAUUUGAUUUCAAGUGAAGAAGAUAGAGUUCUGUUUAAUAUAGUCAAUGUGAGAAAUCCAUUAAGUAACUUGGUUUCAAAGGUGAUUAUUGUUUCAUCACCCAAUACCUCUGGCCUGCGAAUGCUCCAAGGAAGAAAGCAAUUAAAGGAUCUUGUGAAGAAGGGAGAAACUAAGAUGUGA